CCUCCACACACAAUGUGGUCAGAAUAUAAAAACUUAUUUAUUGGUUAAAAGAACAAUGCGUUUCGCCUCACAGGCUUCAUCAGGCUUGAUGAAGCCUUGAUGAUGCCUUGUUGUUCUUUUAACCAAUAAAUAAGUUUACAUUCUGACCAUGUUGUUUGUGGAGG
Xyrichtys novacula (pearly razorfish) is the source of this 164-nucleotide non-coding RNA. NCBI's taxonomy places the organism in Eukaryota, Metazoa, Chordata, Actinopteri, Labriformes, Labridae. The record is from the annotation of a GenBank genome assembly.